Molecule: ribosomal RNA, 900 nt
Filed under: uncultured bacterium
Lineage: Bacteria
Description: bacterial SSU rRNA
Rfam family: Bacterial small subunit ribosomal RNA
Source: RNAcentral
AGAGUUUGAUCCUGGCUCAGGAUGAACGCUAGCGGCAGGCUUAACACAUGCAAGUCGAGGGGUAGAGUAGCAAUACUUGAGACCGGCGCACGGGUGCGUAACGCGUAUGCAAUCUACCUUUUACAGAGGGAUAGCCCAGAGAAAUUUGGAUUAAUACCUCAUAGUAUAAUGACUCGGCAUCGAGAUAUUAUUAAAGUCACAACGGUAAAAGAUGAGCAUGCGUCCCAUUAGCUAGUUGGUGUGGUAACGGCACACCAAGGCAACGAUGGGUAGGGGUCCUGAGAGGGAGAUCCCCCACACUGGUACUGAGACACGGACCAGACUCCUACGGGAGGCAGCAGUGAGGAAUAUUGGUCAAUGGGCGCAAGCCUGAACCAGCCAUGCCGCGUGCAGGAUGACGGUCCUAUGGAUUGUAAACUGCUUUUGUACAGGAAGAAACACUCCCUCGUGAGGGAGCUUGACGGUACUGUAAGAAUAAGGAUCGGCUAACUCCGUGCCAGCAGCCGCGGUAAUACGGAGGAUCCAAGCGUUAUCCGGAAUCAUUGGGUUUAAAGGGUCCGUAGGCGGGUUUAUAAGUCAGUGGUGAAAGCCCAUCGCUCAACGAUGGAACGGCCAUUGAUACUGUAGAUCUUGAAUUAUUAGGAAGUAACUAGAAUAUGUAGUGUAGCGGUGAAAUGCUUAGAGAUUACAUGGAAUACCAAUUGCGAAGGCAGGUUACUACUAAUGGAUUGACGCUGAUGGACGAAAGCGUGGGUAGCGAACAGGAUUAGAUACCCUGGUAGUCCACGCCGUAAACGAUGGAUACUAGCUGUUCGGAGCAAUCUGAGUGGCUAAGCGAAAGUGAUAAGUAUCCCACCUGGGGAGUACGUUCGCAAGAAUGAAACUUAAAGGAAUUGACGG